This is a long non-coding RNA of Helianthus annuus (common sunflower), 1152 nucleotides long. RefSeq lists it as uncharacterized. The record is from RefSeq and is a predicted model, not a curated record. Lineage: Eukaryota; Viridiplantae; Streptophyta; Magnoliopsida; Asterales; Asteraceae. The transcript has 2 exons.
UUAUCCACACAAACAAAAAAAUACACACACACAGACAAAACUCACACAUGAGUUCUCUCUCUCACAUAUUACCGGCAACCGGAGUCGGAAUCCGGCCGGUGCCGGCCGUCGCACACACCGCUCCUCCUCCAUCUCUAUCACUCACCCGUACCCCUUCUCUCUCUCUUCUUGAUCGGAGCUCCGAGGAGCUUCUCGGGCGAGCCACACACAACACGCCACCACCUACCUCCUUCCCUCGGUUCAUCUCCGACGAAGACCACCGGCGCCGUUUUUCACAGCGGCAGCCGGCGGUGGUUCUCCAACAAAAACACCCCCCCCCCCCACCUUCGACUCAGAAAUAGACCACCACCACCACGAACCGGUGGUGGUGGUGCGGCGGCGCUACAAUGAGAGACGGAGAGAGUGACUGAAAGAGAGAGAGAAAAACCGGCGGUCAGCUCAAUUAUCCGGCGGUCGGCUCAAUUAUCCGGCGGUUGGUCUACUUACCCAGUGGUCAAUGUCAAAAGUCCGGCGGUCCAAGACUUUAUCCGCCAAGUUUUCGAUUUGUUCGGGUCAACGGGUUUCGGUUCGGUCAACAAGUCAGCGGUUCGGGUCUCGGGAUUUGGUUCGGGUCAGAUUUGGAGCUUCGGGUCUUCGGUCUUUGUCCGACAAAACUCCGAUAAACUUCUGUUUCUUUUAUUUUUCCCAAAGCUCGAAGAAUGGAAGUGAUUUUUGUUGUUGCUGACAAUAUUCGGUUCAAACUCCGAUUGUUUGGGUUCAAAUUGGUUAUGGGAUCAGGCUUGGUCAGGACAAUCAACUGGACUCGGUCCAGGUCAAACAGUCAAAGGCAGCCAACGGGUCCACGGCUAGGUUCGGGUUCGUGACUCGGUUCGAUCGACUCGGUCAACCGAGUCAACUCGGUUAGCGAAGCGAGUCAACUCAACCGGUCAAACCAAGUCAACUCAGUUGAUCCGGUCAACUCAGUCAGCGGUUCAGUGUCCGACACGAAGACUUGGUAAAAAAAAUAAUCAAUGCGUUUAACAAUUAUGUUUUUUUUUUUUUUUGUUUUGUUAAAUACGCGAUAUCGAGCUCAAACCGAACGGAUUAGUAUUUAGUUUGUAUUUUGUCGCUUUUACUAAAGUUAUUUAUAUUGAUCAUUGAACAUUGAUUGAA